This is a non-coding RNA of Acanthosepion pharaonis, 112 nucleotides long. NCBI's taxonomy places the organism in Eukaryota, Metazoa, Mollusca, Cephalopoda, Sepiida, Sepiidae. The record is from the annotation of a GenBank genome assembly.
AUGGUCAUAUCACGUUGAAACACCUAUUCUCGUACGUUCACCGAAGUUAAACAACGUCAAACAUGGUCAGUACUUACAUGGGUGACCGCUUGGAAAUACCAGGUGCUGUAUG